Molecule: ribosomal RNA, 425 nt
Filed under: uncultured bacterium
Lineage: Bacteria
Description: partial 16S ribosomal RNA
Rfam family: Bacterial small subunit ribosomal RNA
Source: RNAcentral
GUGGGGAAUAUUGGACAAUGGGCGCAAGCCUGACGCAGCCAUGCCGCGUGAAUGAUGAAGGUCUUAGGAUUGUAAAAUUCUUUCACCGGGGACGAUAAUGACGGUACCCGGAGAAGAAGCCCCGGCUAACUACGUGCCAGCAGCCGCGGUAAUACGUAGGGGGCAAGCGUUAUCCGGAUUUACUGGGUGUAAAGGGAGCGUAGACGGUGAAGCAAGUCUGAUGUGAAAACCCGGGGCUCAACUCCGGGAUUGCAUUGGAAACUGUUUUACUUGAGUGCUGGAGGGGCAAGCGGAAUUCCUGGUGUAGCGGUGAAAUGCGUAGAUAUCAGGAAGAACACCGGUGGCGAAGGCGGCUUGCUGGACAGUAACUGACGUUGAGGCUCGAAAGCGUGGGGAGCAAACAGGAUUAGAUACCCCAGUAGUCC